AUACAUGCAGUCGAGCGGACAGAUGGGAGCUUGCUCCCUGAUGUUAGCGGCGGACGGGUGAGUAACACGUGGGUAACCUGCCUGUAAGACUGGGAUAACUCCGGGAAACCGGGGCUAAUACCGGAUGGUUGUUUGAACCGCAUGGUUCAGACAUAAAAGGUGGCUUCGGCUACCACUUACAGAUGGACCCGCGGCGCAUUAGCUAGUUGGUGAGGUAACGGCUCACCAAGGCGACGAUGCGUAGCCGACCUGAGAGGGUGAUCGGCCACACUGGGACUGAGACACGGCCCAGACUCCUACGGGAGGCAGCAGUAGGGAAUCUUCCGCAAUGGACGAAAGUCUGACGGAGCAACGCCGCGUGAGUGAUGAAGGUUUUCGGAUCGUAAAGCUCUGUUGUUAGGGAAGAACAAGUGCCGUUCAAAUAGGGCGGCACCUUGACGGUACCUAACCAGAAAGCCACGGCUAACUACGUGCCAGCAGCCGCGGUAAUACGUAGGUGGCAAGCGUUGUCCGGAAUUAUUGGGCGUAAAGGGCUCGCAGGCGGUUUCUUAAGUCUGAUGUGAAAGCCCCCGGCUCAACCGGGGAGGGUCAUUGGAAACUGGGGAACUUGAGUGCAGAAGAGGAGAGUGGAAUUCCACGUGUAGCGGUGAAAUGCGUAGAGAUGUGGAGGAACACCAGUGGCGAAGGCGACUCUCUGGUCUGUAACUGACGCUGAGGAGCGAAAGCGUGGGGAGCGAACAGGAUUAGAUACCCUGGUAGUCCACGCCGUAAACGAUGAGUGCUAAGUGUUA
Molecule: ribosomal RNA, 791 nt
Filed under: Bacillus siamensis
Lineage: Bacteria; Bacillati; Bacillota; Bacilli; Caryophanales; Bacillaceae
Description: bacterial SSU rRNA
Rfam family: Bacterial small subunit ribosomal RNA
Source: RNAcentral